Long non-coding RNA from Pipra filicauda (Wire-tailed manakin), 539 nucleotides. RefSeq lists it as uncharacterized. The transcript has 3 exons. Lineage: Eukaryota; Metazoa; Chordata; Aves; Passeriformes; Pipridae. The record is from RefSeq and is a predicted model, not a curated record.
GGAAAAAUAUUGCGAUAGAAACGUGGUUUUGGCUUUCAAGGAAAGAGGCUCUUGACUAGCAUUUUAGCUGGGAUAUUUUGCCCUUGUCCAAGCGUUACUUUCCUACUUGAUCUCCGAUGACGGAAAAGCUGAGCUCUGGAGGAAGUGCUGGGAGCCUGGUCGGAGUGUGAGCCACUGUCUGGUGGGAAAAGAUCCUGCCAAGUGACCUGGUGUAAGCUGUGAGGGGUGUAAUCCUGCAAGUGUUUGAUCCAGUGGCUUUGCUUACACUGUGGAGGUAACUCGUGCGUUAAAAGCUGAAAUUCAGUAGAAGUUGAUGAGACCACCGUGGAGAAAUGCUGGUUCACCACACUGGCUGGUACCAGCUUGAUCUGGCUCCAGCUCCGGGAUGUGCAGCCUACAGACACAGUAAUGAAAAGAAAUAUUCUGAAAAGGAUGAGUCAGCUGGAGGCCAGUGGGGAGAGCAAGUGGGAUCUGACUGGAAUUUAAAAAGUUAUGAGGCUACAUGUUGUUUUGAGCUCUGCCAGUGGAGAGAAACCCAU